UGGGGAAUUUUGGACAAUGGGCGAAAGCCUGAUCCAGCAAUGCCGCGUGUGUGAAGAAGGCCUUCGGGUUGUAAAGCACUUUUGUCCGGAAAGAAAUCCUUGGCUCUAAUACAGUCGGGGGAUGACGGUACCGGAAGAAUAAGCACCGGCUAACUACGUGCCAGCAGCCGCGGUAAUACGUAGGGUGCAAGCGUUAAUCGGAAUUACUGGGCGUAAAGCGUGCGCAGGCGGUUUGCUAAGACCGAUGUGAAAUCCCCGGGCUCAACCUGGGAACUGCAUUGGUGACUGGCAGGCUAGAGUAUGGCAGAGGGGGGUAGAAUUCCACGUGUAGCAGUGAAAUGCGUAGAGAUGUGGAGGAAUACCGAUGGCGAAGGCAGCCCCCUGGGCCAAUACUGACGCUCAUGCACGAAAGCGUGGGGGAGCAAAACAGGAUUAGAUACCCUGGUAGUCCACGCCCUAAAACGAUGUCAACUAGUUGUUGGGGAUUCAUUUCCUUAGUAACGUAGCUAACGCGUGAAGUUGACCGCCUGGGGAGUACGGUCGCAAGAUUAAAACUUAAAUGAAUUGACGGGGUCAUAGCUGUUUCCU
Molecule: ribosomal RNA, 588 nt
Filed under: uncultured bacterium
Lineage: Bacteria
Description: partial 16S ribosomal RNA
Rfam family: Bacterial small subunit ribosomal RNA
Source: RNAcentral